This 408-nucleotide ribosomal RNA is filed under the name uncultured bacterium. Its description in RNAcentral is "partial 16S ribosomal RNA". It matches the Rfam family "Bacterial small subunit ribosomal RNA", at positions 28 to 526 of the family's 1533-position model. The record is from RNAcentral.
GACGAACGCUGGCGGCGUGCUUAACACAUGCAAGUCGAACGAAGUGGCAAACGGGAGAGUAACGCGUAAUCAACCUGCCCUUCAGAGGGGGACAACAGUUAGAAACGACUGCGAAUACCGCAUACUGAUGGCGGGGAUUGCGUCUGAUUGGCUAGUGGGAGGGGUAACGGCCCACCAAGGCGAUGUGCAGUAGCCGGUCUGAGAGGAUGAACGGCCACAUUGGGACUGAGACACGGCCCAGACUCCUACGGUAGGCAGCAGUGGGGAAUCUUCCGCAAUGGACGAAAGUCUGACGGAGCAACGCCGCGUGAGUGAUGACGGCCUUCGGGUUGUAAAGCUCUGUUAAUCGGGACGCGGUACCGGAAUAGAAAGCCACGGCUAACUACGUGCCAGCCGCCGCGGUAAUAC